This 799-nucleotide ribosomal RNA is filed under the name Salmonella enterica subsp. enterica serovar Muenchen. RNAcentral describes it as "partial 23S ribosomal RNA". It matches the Rfam family "Bacterial large subunit ribosomal RNA", at positions 392 to 1190 of the family's 2925-position model. Lineage: Bacteria; Pseudomonadati; Pseudomonadota; Gammaproteobacteria; Enterobacterales; Enterobacteriaceae. The record is from RNAcentral.
AUGUGCUGUGAGCUCGAUGAGUAGGGCGGGACACGUGGUAUCCUGUCUGAAUAUGGGGGGACCAUCCUCCAAGGCUAAAUACUCCUGACUGACCGAUAGUGAACCAGUACCGUGAGGGAAAGGCGAAAAGAACCCCGGCGAGGGGAGUGAAAAAGAACCUGAAACCGUGUACGUACAAGCAGUGGGAGCACAGGUUUACCUGUGUGACUGCGUACCUUUUGUAUAAUGGGUCAGCGACUUAUAUUCUGUAGCAAGGUUAACCGAAUAGGGGAGCCGGAGGGAAACCGAGUCUUAACCGGGCGUUAAGUUGCAGGGUAUAGACCCGAAACCCGGUGAUCUAGCCAUGGGCAGGUUGAAGGUUGGGUAACACUAACUGGAGGACCGAACCGACUAAUGUUGAAAAAUUAGCGGAUGACCUGUGGCUGGGGGUGAAAGGCCAAUCAAACCGGGAGAUAGCUGGUUCUCCCCGAAAGCUAUUUAGGUAGCGCCUCGUGAAUUCAUCUCCGGGGGUAGAGCACUGUUUCGGCUAGGGGGCCAUCCCGGCUUACCAACCCGAUGCAAACUGCGAAUACCGGAGAAUGUUAUCACGGGAGACACACGGCGGGUGCUAACGUCCGUCGUGAAGAGGGAAACAACCCAGACCGCCAGCUAAGGUCCCAAAGUCAUGGUUAAGUGGGAAACGAUGUGGGAAGGCCCAGACAGCCAGGAUGUUGGCUUAGAAGCAGCCAUCAUUUAAAGAAAGCGUAAUAGCUCACUGGUCGAGUCGGCCUGCGCGGAAGAUGUAACGGGGCUAAACCAU